Molecule: ribosomal RNA, 470 nt
Filed under: uncultured Christensenellaceae bacterium
Lineage: Bacteria; Bacillati; Bacillota; Clostridia; Christensenellales; Christensenellaceae
Description: bacterial SSU rRNA
Rfam family: Bacterial small subunit ribosomal RNA
Source: RNAcentral
GACGAACGCUGGCGGCGUGCUUAACACAUGCAAGUCGAACGAAGCAAUUUCAUUAGUUUACUAAAGGGAUUGACUGAGUGGCGGACGGGUGAGUAACGCGUGAACAAUCUACCUAUCAGAGGGGGACAACAUCCGGAAACGGGUGCUAAUACCGCAUAAGACCACAAUGUCGCAUGGCAAAGGGGUAAAAGAAUUUCGCUGAUAGAUGAGUUCGCGUAUCAUUAGCUAGUUGGUGGGGUAACGGCCUACCAAGGCAACGAUGAUUAGCCGGCCUGAGAGGGUGAACGGCCACACUGGAACUGAGACACGGUCCAGACUCCUACGGGAGGCAGCAGUGGGGAAUAUUGGGCAAUGGGCGCAAGCCUGACCCAGCAACGCCGCGUGAGGGAAGAAGGUUUUCGGAUUGUAAACCUCUGUCCUUGGGGACGAAGAAGUGACGGUACCCAAGGAGGAAGCUCCGGCUAACUACG